GACAGAGGGUGCAAGCGUUGCUCGGAAUCAUUGGGCGUAAAGCGCGUGUAGGCGGCUUGUUACGUCGGGUGUGAAAGCCCGGGGCUCAACCCCGGCAGUGCACCCGAAACGGGGAAGCUAGAGUACUGGAGAGGCGAGUGGAAUUCCCGGUGUAGAGGUGAAAUUCGUAGAUAUCGGGAGGAACACCGGUGGCGAAGGCGACUCGCUGGCCAGGUUACUGACGCUGAGACGCGAAAGCGUGGGGAGCAAACAGG
This 254-nucleotide ribosomal RNA is filed under the name uncultured bacterium. RNAcentral describes it as "partial 16S ribosomal RNA". It matches the Rfam family "Bacterial small subunit ribosomal RNA", at positions 524 to 776 of the family's 1533-position model. The record is from RNAcentral.